This 484-nucleotide ribosomal RNA is filed under the name uncultured bacterium. Its description in RNAcentral is "partial 16S ribosomal RNA". It matches the Rfam family "Bacterial small subunit ribosomal RNA", at positions 30 to 507 of the family's 1533-position model. The record is from RNAcentral.
AUUGAACGCUGGCGGCAGGCCUAACACAUGCCAGUCGAGCGGAUGAAGGGAGCUUGCUCCUGGAUUCAGCGGCGGACGGGUGAGUAAUGCCUAGGAAUCUGCCUGGCAGUGGGGGAUAACGUCCGGAAACGGGCGCUAAUACCGCAUACGUCCUGAGGGAGAAAGAGGGGGAUCUUUGGACCUCACGCUCUCAGAUGAGCCUAGGUCGGAUUAGCUAGUUGGUGGGGUAAAGGCCUACCAAGGCGACGAUCCGUAACUGGUCUGUGUGGAUGAUCAGUCACACUGGAACUGAAACACGGUCCAGACUCCUACGAGAGGCAGCAGUGGGGAAUGUUAGGCAGUGGGCGAAAGCCUGAUCCAGCCAUGCCACGUGUGUGAAGAAGGUCUUCGGAUUGUAAAGCACUUUAAGUUGGGGGGAAGGGCAGUAAGUUAAUACCUUGCUGUUUUGACGGUACCAACAGAAUAAGCACCGGCUAACUUCGUG